Long non-coding RNA from Zingiber officinale, 656 nucleotides. RefSeq lists it as uncharacterized. The record is from RefSeq and is a predicted model, not a curated record. The transcript has 3 exons. Lineage: Eukaryota; Viridiplantae; Streptophyta; Magnoliopsida; Zingiberales; Zingiberaceae.
CCUCGACCUCGCGCCCAAAAUCCCCUUUCCUCUCCGGCGAUUUCUCCUCUCCUCCUCUCGGUGUCGCCGGCGCAAGCAACCACCGGAGCUUUGAAGGGAAAACAAAUGGCUGGUUCUUCUUCCUCAGCUCUCGGUUUCCUCUCUCCCGAUUGCUCUCUCUUGCGGAUGACCCGAAGUCGACGGAGGACGACUCUUCCUCGAUGGUCUCGGCCUCCUCGCGUCGAUUGAGGACCAUCACCGAAAUCUCGAGGGAGCUGAUGUUGUCCAAGCCUUCUCCAGUGAACUGAUCACUACCGCGACAAUUUCUUGCAGGCGAUCGAUUGCGGGCGAGAAAUGGUGGUCCGGCGGAGUUAGGGCACAACGAGAUUGGGAUUGCGUCGCCCCCUAGCCGGUUGACCUCCUUCAGUUCUCUUCUUGGAUCUGAUCACUGGUGCAUGCUCUGUGCCCUUACCUCAGAUGGAUUGAAGCGGGCGAUCGGGUUAGGCGUCAGAUCGAAGUAUUGGAGGAUUGCACUGUUGCUGAUCACUGCCACUCCAAUCCUUGAAGCUGUGGAGGUCACGGGUGAGAAGGUAAGGGGUUGUUGAGGGUUCUUGGUAGCGGUCAGCAGAGGUUCUUGUGGGCUGUGAGAUUCAGAACUUGCUACCGAAACCUCACGG